AUGGAAGGAGAGAGAGAGCAGCCGAUCGAAGAAGGAGAAGCAGCAGCUCCGUCGGGAUCAACAAGCAGGUCAACUAAACACACAUCUAGGAUAGCUAUUCAGAAAUUAAUAGAGGUGGUAGCUGCAUUGUCAGAUUACAAAAGAUUCCUAGUUGAGGAGAUUGGAUUUGAGGGUGUACUACGUAUCCCCAUGAUCCAGAAAAUCAAUCUGAAGUUUAGCAAGUUCCUAAUGACCAAGGUGGUUGUGGAAAAGCAUUGCAUCAUACUGAGAGAUGGCGGAACGCCAAUUACAUUCUAUCCGGAGGAUUUCCACAAAGUGUUCGGUAUCCCAUGCGGGCAGCGAGACAUCAACGGCAAAGAUGCAGACAUCACACCUAAAGCAAUCGAGUUCAUUAGGAACUCUAUAGGUUGGAAUGAGAAAUCUGAUCGCAGCCUAAGCUCGCUUGAAGCGUUCAUCGGCAAGAAAAUAAACGAACUAUCCAGCCGACUAGAGAAGGAUUCUUUCAAGAUGGCGUUUGUUGUCUUUGUGAUGGGAAAUCUGUUCGCGCCGUGCACCAAACACGACCACUCGACCAUCGACUACUGGGGCGCCAUCAAGGAUGCAGAAAACAUCUCCCUCUUCAAUUGGUGCAAAUAUUCAGUCAAUUUUUUACUGGAAGCAGUUCGCAAACUAAAGUUGGAAACGGAUGCACACAUAACACCCAACCACCUCUCUGGUUGUCACCUUUUUCUGCAGGCGUUCGUACUAGACAAUGUUGAACUGGGGAUAAUGAAAGCAGACCACAAUUCCACGGAUAAAUUUAUUCGACGGGGAGACCCUGAAACGGAUGAUCCUCAUGUGCUCAGCAAGAAAGCUAGGGAAAACCAUCUUCAUAGUCCCCGAGGCAAGACACUGGAAUGCCACGUGCUACACAUGGCACAACUACAUAAACGAGAAGCAUGCCAAGAAGAAAUCAAUGGAGCAAAAUGCUGA
RNAcentral lists this ribosomal RNA (972 nucleotides) under Triticum aestivum (bread wheat). RNAcentral's name for it is "partial small subunit ribosomal RNA". The record is from RNAcentral. Lineage: Eukaryota; Viridiplantae; Streptophyta; Magnoliopsida; Poales; Poaceae.